This is a small nuclear RNA of Echinops telfairi (small Madagascar hedgehog), 103 nucleotides long. The record is from Ensembl. Lineage: Eukaryota; Metazoa; Chordata; Mammalia; Afrosoricida; Tenrecidae.
UUGCUUAAACAGCAAAUACACUAAAAUUGGAAUGAUAUAGAGAAGAUUACCAUGGCCCAUAUAUAAAGAUGACAUGCAAACUUGUGAAUCAUUCAAUAUUUUU